CCGCUUUCAAAUUCCAAACCAUUAUUAUUCCCUUCUCCUUCUUCUCCUUCUUCUUCUUCUUCAUCAUCAUCAAAUUCAAUUCAAGUGAAGCACCAUCACCACCACUCAGCAAUGGUGACUCUUCUUGUUGCUACAACCUCCGACCCUGCUUCCAUCAACCCUGCCAAUGCCCGCUUGGCAACCAGGAUGGCAUGAAGAGUUUCUGUAAUGAAGGGGUGAGGGUUUUGCUUCAUGGGAAGAGCAUAGUGGUUGAGGAUGACUUGGACAAGAGGUGGCAAGAGAAGACUGGUGAGGUUGUUGAUGAGGUCAUCUUCUUCAGCAAGCACACUGCUGUUUCUAACAAACCUGCCCUCACUGUUCAUCCCAUUGACGUGAGUUAGAUUAAGGCCACGUUAGGAUGAGCUGCACUGCCAAAUCCUCGGAUGGGUCCUUGGUUUCGACUUUUGAAGAAAUUGGCACAAGCUCAUAAUCUGGUCCCUGAAUUUGAGAUUACUUUGGAGGCCACUCAUCACGGGCCAUUCACGAUUCACGAAUAAGCCAACAAUGUUUCUUGAGAUUGGUAGUACCGAAGACUAUUCGAAAAGACAGGAUGCUGCUCAAGUAAUGGCUCAGGGAGAAUGAUAAGAAAGUCCUUCUUGGGAUAGGUGGCGGACACUAUGCGCCUCGGCAUAUGGAUGUAGUAUUGUGAGCAGUCAUUAUCCUUGUAGUUUAAUUUUCUCUCUGACUUUUGAAAGACGAUGUCUUGGGAGUGAGAGGACAAUGCGAAACAAUGCUGCUUCGACAAAUUGACAUUACAAACCAUAAUGCAAAUCUGCAGGCCUUUGUUGUUAAAUAAUCUCAGAUAUACGCUUCUGCAAUAUCCACAAGACGAAUGAACUGCUCCAGAUAGUAGGUUUCUCAGUUCUGCUCCUGCCACUUACUUAAUUCUCGGUUGCUAUGGGUUCUUGUUGUACAAAGGUUUGUUCUUGUUCUUGUUUCUCUUCUCUGAGUACAUUGCCAUUUGCGCACAACUCGGCUUCACUUGGCUUGUCCAUGGGACUGGGAGCCGCAUUCAGAGGUGGAACUUUGCUUGUUUCAUGGGAAAAGAUGUUAUUUUCUUCAUUGGCCUCAGCCACCUUGACCUUAUCUUUCACUGUUGAAUUGGACAAGGUGGUAACUUUAGUCGCUACACUAGAUAGGGAGGUUUUUGUGAUCUUAGAUGGAGUCCGCACAGUAGAUGAAUUGGAUGGACUACUCUUUUCAGAAGCCAGUAGAGGAGGAAGAGAUUUUCGCUGCGGCUUUUUUUGAUUGACAGGAGAAAUUCCUUUAGUUGGUGUACUCUGAGACGCUUUCUCAUCGAGGCUUAAACGACCUACUUGAGUGCUGCUGAUAGCGUCUCCUUCUGACUCUGGAUGUGUUGCGGUCUUCCUACGACCAAGCUUGGGGGAUUUCGCUCUUGUAGUUGGUAUCUACAUUUGUAAGUUCAUAGGCAAAUGAAUAUCAAUUUCCACAUGACAAGACCAAACUCACAAACUCAACAAGAUUAAGCACAAGAUAUGAAGAGGAGGAAAAGAAAAAAGGAAGGGGGGGGGGGGGGCUAUGGACAAGUACAAUGUCAAAUUUGGAUUGCAAAACAACUAAAGCAAGGAACAAGACUUCAACUUAUCAGUGAAGAAAAAUCAGAUUUUGAUCAAGUAAAAUCAGUUUAGAUGCAUAAAGUGAUGAGCCAUAUAUCACAUUUAAUUACAUAGAAAUCAGUUGAUCAAGUUAUGUGGAAGAGUGAGAAGAAAGCUCCAAUCAGAAGAGAUUGCUCAUCCGAAAUGGAUUGGAAGAUUGUCAUACAUUCUUAUUCUCAGAAACCGCAUGAAAAAUGUACCCAUGCCCACAUUUGUGCAUUCACAAAGCAAAAGUAAUAUACAUAAUAUGCAGUAUCCAUUUACA
Arachis stenosperma is the source of this 1920-nucleotide long non-coding RNA. RefSeq lists it as uncharacterized. The transcript is spliced from 6 exons. The record is from RefSeq and is a predicted model, not a curated record. NCBI's taxonomy places the organism in Eukaryota, Viridiplantae, Streptophyta, Magnoliopsida, Fabales, Fabaceae.